CAAUAGCGUAUAUUAAAGUUGUUGCAGUUAAAAAGCUCGUAGUUGGAUUUCUGGUUGAAGCGACCGGUCGGGCGUUGAUUCGUCUGCACUGGAGUCGGUUUUGGCCAUCCUCUAGGGAAGUGCGUCUGGUAUUAAGUUAUCGGGCGUAUGAUCCUGGUCUUUUACUGUGAAAAAAUUAGAGUGUUUAAAGCAGGCCUUCGCCUUGAAUACAUUAGCAUGGAAUAAUAAGAUAGGACUUUGGUCUAUUUUGUUGGUUUGCAGACCGAAGUAAUGAUUAAUAGGGAUAGUUGGGGGUAUUUAUAUUCCGAUGUCAGAGGUGAAAUUCUUAGAUUUUCGGAAGAUAAACUUAUGCGAAAGCAUUUACCAAGGAUGUUUUCAUUAA
RNAcentral lists this ribosomal RNA (382 nucleotides) under uncultured eukaryote. Its description in RNAcentral is "partial 18S ribosomal RNA". It matches the Rfam family "Eukaryotic small subunit ribosomal RNA", at positions 592 to 976 of the family's 1831-position model. The record is from RNAcentral.